RNAcentral lists this ribosomal RNA (492 nucleotides) under Triticum aestivum (bread wheat). RNAcentral's name for it is "partial small subunit ribosomal RNA". Lineage: Eukaryota; Viridiplantae; Streptophyta; Magnoliopsida; Poales; Poaceae. The record is from RNAcentral.
AUGUGUGAAUUCUGGUAUAAUACUAACUGGCACUCUGCAGUGGGCAAGACUCCCUUUGAGAUUUUGUAUGGCCAUUCUCCAAGGUACUUUGGCAUCACUGCCAGUGACACUAUAGCUUCUCCUGACAUCCAGCAGUGGCUAUUAGAAAGGCAGACUGUGUUGGAUUCUGUCACCCAACAUCUGCACAGGGCUCAACAGAGAAUGAAAGCUCAAGGUGAUAAGCACCGGACUGAACGUGUCUUUGAAGUUGGUGAAUGGGUUUUUCUCAAGCUCCAACCUUAUGUCCAAUCCUCAGUUGUUCGUCGAGCAAACCACAAACUCUCCUUCAAAUACUUUGGUCCAUAUAAAAUUCUGGGCAAGAUUGGUGAAGUGGCAUACAAGCUGGAGUUGCCUGCUACUAGCAAAGUCCAUUCAGUUUUCCAUGUAUCUCAACUCAAAAAGGUGCUAGUGCAAGUGCUUCAGUCUCGAGUGCGUCAGGUUGGUCAGAAAACA